GACGAACGCUGGCGGCGUGCUUAACACAUGCAAGUCGAACGGAAAGGCCCUGCUUGCAGGGUACUCGAGUGGCGAACGGGUGAGUAACACGUGGGUGAUCUGCCCUGCACUUCGGGAUAAGCCUGGGAAACUGGGUCUAAUACCGGAUAGGAGCCAUUUUUAGUGUGAUGGUUGGAAAGUUUUUUCGGUGUAGGAUGAGCUCGCGGCCUAUCAGCUUGUUGGUGGGGUAAUGGGCUACCAAGGCGGCGACGGGUAGCCGGCCUGAGAGGGUGGACGGCCACAUUGGGACUGAGAUACGGCCCAGACUCCUACGGGAGGCAGCAGUGGGGAAUAUUGCACAAUGGGCGCAAGCCUGAUGCAGCGACGCCGCGUGGGGGAUGACGGCCUUCGGGUUGUAAACUCCUUUCGCUAGGGACGAAGCUUUUUGUGACGGUACCUAGAUAAGAAGCACCGGCUAACUACGUG
This 465-nucleotide ribosomal RNA is filed under the name uncultured bacterium. RNAcentral describes it as "partial 16S ribosomal RNA". It matches the Rfam family "Bacterial small subunit ribosomal RNA", at positions 28 to 507 of the family's 1533-position model. The record is from RNAcentral.